UNGGAACUAUUGGUGUUCUUAGACGACC
RNAcentral lists this non-coding RNA (28 nucleotides) under Mus musculus (house mouse). The record is from RNAcentral. Lineage: Eukaryota; Metazoa; Chordata; Mammalia; Rodentia; Muridae.